GCAAAGCAGCUUUGACAACAAGAUCCUGUGGAUUUCCUUAGGUGCUACUGGAGUUGUUUGUACACUCGCAGUUUUCGUCAUACUAUUCUGUCAAAGGGCCAAAAUCGCGAAAUUUUUAAGAAGAAGUGAAAACCCCGACGUAGUGGACGAUGCAUUCUAUUACACAGAUAUGUCGAUGGGAAGACGCGAAUAUCAAUCUGCAAUUGAUAUUGUGACGUAUCAAAACGUGACUCCAAAUUUGUUACUAAACGAACCCAACUACAUCGAAUUGGAAUUCAACGUCCAGGAAAAUUCAAACCCAGCAGAAAAUGGAACUGCUGAAAUUAAUUCUACGAAUCAGUCUGAGAGUGUGACGUACGAAAAUGUGAUUCCAAAUUUGUUACAUAACGAACCCAUCAGCUACAUCGAAUUGGAUUUCAACGUCCAGAAAAAUUCAAACUCAGAAAAUGCAGCUGCUGAAAUUAAUUCUACGACCGGUCUUAACAAAAAGCGCGAU
Daphnia pulicaria is the source of this 496-nucleotide long non-coding RNA. RefSeq lists it as uncharacterized. The transcript has 2 exons. The record is from RefSeq and is a predicted model, not a curated record. Lineage: Eukaryota; Metazoa; Arthropoda; Branchiopoda; Diplostraca; Daphniidae.